Molecule: long non-coding RNA, 283 nt
Organism: Rhagoletis pomonella (apple maggot)
Lineage: Eukaryota; Metazoa; Arthropoda; Insecta; Diptera; Tephritidae
Exons: 3
Source: RefSeq, a predicted model, not a curated record
GAUAGGUAAUGCGUCAUUGGAUUUUAUUGCUUUAAAUAGGCUUUCGGCAAAUGGAACGGGUGAUGAAAUCGUGUCAAAUAGUUAUUUGAAAAGACUUUUAGUUUUGGUAUUGGAAAGACUAAAACACACAAACACACAUACAAUGUUGUACUUAAAGUUAUAUACGGCUAGGAAAUGGCAAGUGGAGAAUAGAAGUGGAAGGAAUUUAGGAAAUGUUUUAGGGUGAUUCAGAAAUUAUAUACGUGUUGCACAUUUUCUUGUAAAUAAAAAAUCGCCGAACAUA